UCUAACCCUAGUUCCCAAAUCCCCCUCACUCCAGGCGAAGCCGACUGCGCCGGCGGCGGUCCCAUCCUGUACCAGUCCGUCUCCAUCCUGUGCCGCCGUGUAUCGAGAGAGACGAUAUACCUUCACUCUUCCCCUCUCUCGUGCGGCGACAAUGGAGGCCUAGCGACUGUAGCUACAUGCCUACAUCUCGCCAAGACAUUCUUGGGACGGCGCCACAAAAUCGCAAGUAUAAUACUACGGGACAGCCCACACGACAACACCAACAACGUUCAAGGAGCUACAUCUACACUGCAUCAGAAAACGAGAUGGAGACAUCGCUGGCUCAGAGGACAUGAACAUCAACUGAUAAAUAGUGUAGAACCUGCUCGUGUUGUGGGUUCCUGAACUUUCUGAAGCAGCUUGAUUUUGCUAUGUGUGGGCCUGGCCGCAUGGAAGGAAUAUGAUUGCACUUGUUACUUUCAUAGAAAGAAAAUAGAUGUUGUGAUUCCAGGAGUGUGGUACGUAAUUCAUCGGACAACUUCGUAGAACUGUUCUUCCAAAUGGAGGGGACUAGUGCAACCUCACCAUCACCAAUCCUUGCAUGCCCCGCCAAUCCGUGUACUGUACCAACUAUCUCAGAAUCAGUCAGUAGCUUGGGAAUGACAGAAUUAGGUGAUGCCAACUCUUUUUCAGAGAUUAGUUCCAGGAUGCUUCCUCUUAGUGAAUUCUCUACACCCAAGAAGAGACAAUGUUUUUCUCAAGAUGGUUCAUUGCAUAUACCAGUGUGCGACGAGUCAAUGAAACCAACAGUAGGCAUGAGAUUUGAUGACAUUGCGUCUGUAGAGACAUUUUACAAGAACUAUGCACACCACGUGGGAUUUGGUGUCCGUCUUGGGCCACAAAGGAUGGUGAACAAUGUAGUUCACUGGAAACGUUUCUUAUGCACAAGGGAGG
This is a long non-coding RNA of Lolium rigidum, 933 nucleotides long. RefSeq lists it as uncharacterized. The record is from RefSeq and is a predicted model, not a curated record. Lineage: Eukaryota; Viridiplantae; Streptophyta; Magnoliopsida; Poales; Poaceae. The transcript has 6 exons.